UACGUAGGGUGCGAGCGUUAAUCGGAAUUACUGGGGGUAAAGCGUGCGCAGGCGGUUCGCUGUGUCCUGUGUGAAAGCCCCGGGCUUAACCUGGGAAUGGCAUGGGAAACUGGCGGGCUGGAGUGUGGCAGAGGGGGGUGGAAUUCCGCGUGUAGCAGUGAAAUGCGUAGAGAUGCGGAGGAACACCGAUGGCGAAGGCAGCCCCCUGGGCUAACACUGACGCUCAUGCACGAAAGCGUGGGGAGCAAACAGG
Molecule: ribosomal RNA, 253 nt
Filed under: uncultured bacterium
Lineage: Bacteria
Description: partial 16S ribosomal RNA
Rfam family: Bacterial small subunit ribosomal RNA
Source: RNAcentral